GAUGAACGCUGGCGGCGUGCUUAACACAUGCAAGUCGAGCGGUGAGGCGCGUUGCUUUUUGCUGGGUGGGGAUGGGCGGCGGGGGGGGGAGUAACACGAGAGUAACCUUCUCCCUCUUUCUGGAUAACGGCAAGAAGGUGUGGCUAAUACAGGAUAUUCUGAGUCUGUUGCAUGAUGGGUCUGAGACGGAUAUUGUGUCGGUUGUGGAUGGGCUCGCGCCUUAUCAGCUUGUUGGUGAGGUGAUGGCCUACCAAGGCGGUGACGAGUAGCCGGCCUGAGAGGGUCGACGACCAUAGUGGGGAUGAGCGGCCGAGCAGACUCCGAGGGGAGGCAGCAGGGAGUCAUACGGCAUAGUGGGAGGCAGGCUGAAGCAGCGACGCGGCGGGAGGGAUGGUGGCCGUCGGGUUGUGAACCGCUUUCGGGAGUGAAGAAGGCCUGCCUCGUGUGUGGGUGGGUUGACGGUAGCUGGAGAAGAAGCGCCGGCUAACUACGUG
This 494-nucleotide ribosomal RNA is filed under the name uncultured bacterium. RNAcentral describes it as "partial 16S ribosomal RNA". It matches the Rfam family "Bacterial small subunit ribosomal RNA", at positions 28 to 507 of the family's 1533-position model. The record is from RNAcentral.